AGGAAAAGAAACUAACAAGGAUUCCCCUAGUAACGGCGAGUGAAGCGGGAAGAGCUCAAAUUUAAAAUCUGGCGGUGCAUUCCGUCCGAGUUGUAGUCUAGAGAAGCGUCAUUCCGUACGCUGGACCAUGUACAAGUCUCUUGGAACAGACGGUCAUAGAGGGUGAGAAUCCCGUCCUUGACAUGGACUCCCGGGUGUUCUGUGUUGCUCUCAACGAGUCGAGUUGUUUGGGAAUGCAGCUCAAAACGGGUGGUAAAUUCCAUCUAAAGCUAAAUAUUGGCGAAAGACCGAUAGCGAACAAGUACCGUGAGGGAAAGAUGAAAAGCACUUUGGAGAGAGAGUUAAACAGUACGUGAAAUUGUUGAAAUGGAAACGCUUGAAGUCAGUCGCGUUCUCUGGGAUUCAGCCUUGCUUUCUGCUUGGUGCAUUUCCUAGUUCUACGGGCCAGCAUGGAUUUCGGGCCGGAUGGUAAAAAGGGCUUGGGGGAAUGUGGCACCUUCCGGGUGUGUUAUAGCCCCCUUGUCACACGCGUCGGUUCGGAUCGAGGACCUCAGUGCACGCUUCGGUUGUGCUUUGAUGCUGGCGUAAU
RNAcentral lists this ribosomal RNA (589 nucleotides) under uncultured Basidiomycota. RNAcentral's name for it is "LSU rRNA". It matches the Rfam family "Eukaryotic large subunit ribosomal RNA", at positions 54 to 635 of the family's 3401-position model. Lineage: Eukaryota; Fungi; Basidiomycota. The record is from RNAcentral.